GGAUGUGAGGGCGAUCUGGCUGCGACAUUCAUCAUCCCAAUGAUCGCCAGGGUUGAUUUGGCUGAUCUGGCUGGUUAGGCGGGUAUCUCCCUCUUCCCUCACAGAUCCAUGUGCGUCCCUCCCUAAGAUCGUAAGGACGACCUUCCUCCUAGAGGAGAGGACCUGUCUUUGGUCAAGGGUAUACGAGUAGCUGUGCCCCCCCUGCUAGAACCUCCAAACAAGCUCUCAAGGUCCAAGACUCCAGACACAUCCAAAUGAGGUGCUGCACAUGGCAGUCUUUCUUU
RNAcentral lists this small nuclear RNA (284 nucleotides) under Myotis lucifugus (little brown bat). RNAcentral describes it as "7SK RNA". It matches the Rfam family "7SK RNA". From Rfam's summary of the family: 7SK was discovered as an abundant small nuclear RNA in the mid-70s but a possible function has only recently been suggested. Two independent studies have found that 7SK RNA binds the CDK9/cyclin T complex (known as elongation factor P-TEFb). The record is from Rfam by way of RNAcentral. Lineage: Eukaryota; Metazoa; Chordata; Mammalia; Chiroptera; Vespertilionidae.